RNAcentral lists this ribosomal RNA (253 nucleotides) under uncultured bacterium. RNAcentral's name for it is "partial 16S ribosomal RNA". It matches the Rfam family "Bacterial small subunit ribosomal RNA", at positions 524 to 776 of the family's 1533-position model. The record is from RNAcentral.
UACGGGGGGGGCAAGCGUUGUUCGGAAUUACUGGGCGUAAAGGGCUCGUAGGCGGCCAACUAAGUCAGACGUGAAAUCCCUCGGCUUAACCGGGGAACUGCAUCUGAUACUGGAUGGCUUGAGUUCGGGAGAGGGAUGCGGAAUUCCUGGUGUAGCGGUGAAAUGCGCAGAUAUCAGGAGGAACACCGGUGGCGAAGGCGGAUCUCUGGGCCUUACCUGACGCUGAGGCGCGAAAGCUAGGGGAGCGAACAGG